GCAUCGCCAAGAUAGGUUUAUCGAUAGAUUGUGGAAAGUCUUGGUUACCGUUUCUGGCCUGAAAAAAGAGAAAAAAAGAAAAAAGCCUUCGUCUUGUCUUAUUUUAUUUUGCAUUUUAUUUUAUUUUAUUUUUACUUUAUAUCUAUAUCUAUAUCUAUUUGUUGUAUUCUUUUUUGAAUUUUUACGCUCCCGUGACAGGGAAUAAAUAGGCUUUUGCAUAUGAUUAUCAGACUCAUCGUGAGUUUGCCACAGACGAAGAAUCCAUGUUUGGAGAGAGGGCAUUGACACCAGGCUUGACCCGACGACGACACAGCUUAACCUAUGCUAAAUCUACAUUCAGUAUAUGAUCACGUCCGUGUUUUGUUCCGCUACCCGCGUUUCCCUUCCCACCCGUAAGUAACAUCCGUACGCAGCGGAACGACAACAGCCGGCUUUCUCAGAAAAAGGCUCCUUGCAACCCUGCGGGUUCUGGACACACAAGAGCUAUGGGAGGGAAAUGCAAGAGCCAGGUAAUGAUGGUGGGAUGUGGGAUGUGGGAUGUUUGGUUUACCCAGCCAGAGAGUUGAUUGAGGUUUAAGCUCCAGGAACGGAACCGGGCAAUCCAGAGUUCAGCAGAGCUUAUGCCGACUGCACCUAUUCCAAGGCGUAUUUCUUAUUUUCUUGUUCUUUGCUUUUUCCGGUUUUUUUUCUUCUUUUUUCUUUUCCUGCUUCCGUGGAGGCUUGUGCUGUUCGUGAGCUAUUUUUGGAUACGCAUUGUAUGCAUUUUAGCGCUGGGAAGGGAGAGAGAGAGAAGAUAAGAUGGUCAUGGGCGAUAGAGAGAUAGGCGCUGGCUGGGUGGGCCAGCAAGAAAAUCUCGGGCGGGAGAGCGACAAUUGAUUUCAGCAUGUAAGGUUUUGCCAAAGCUUUUGCAUCCUGCGGUUUGGUUGCGGCGCUUUUUCGACGAUUGAUUUUCUGCGAUUCCUAACUCCAUUCUCUUCGGGGGGCUGGACCUCCAGCACGCCCACUGGAAUCCACGUAACUUAAUACGGCCAACUUGAGCAUGUAAUUGCGUAUGUAUGUAUGGAUGUAAGUAACUAUGUAUGGGCUGUACGAUACCUAUACGCAGUUGUCGAAUCAGUAGAAAUCAGUAUGACAUUAUAAUACAGCCU
This 1148-nucleotide small RNA is filed under the name Histoplasma capsulatum. RNAcentral describes it as "hypothetical RNA". Lineage: Eukaryota; Fungi; Ascomycota; Eurotiomycetes; Onygenales; Ajellomycetaceae. The record is from RNAcentral. RNAcentral also lists the same sequence under 1 other name.